CAUAGGUUAAUGAGGCGAACCGGGGGAACUGAAACAUCUAAGUACCCCGAGGAAAAGAAAUCAACCGAGAUUCCCCCAGUAGCGGCGAGCGAACGGGGAGCAGCCCAGAGCCUGAAUCAGUGUGUGUGUUAGUGGAAGCGUCUGGAAAGGCGCGCGAUACAGGGUGACAGCCCCGUACACAAAAAUGCACAUGCUGUGAGCUCGAUGAGUAGGGCGGGACACGUGGUAUCCUGUCUGAAUAUGGGGGGACCAUCCUCCAAGGCUAAAUACUCCUGACUGACCGAUAGUGAACCAGUACCGUGAGGGAAAGGCGAAAAGAACCCCGGCGAGGGGAGUGAAAAAGAACCUGAAACCGUGUACGUACAAGCAGUGGGAGCACGCUUAGGCGUGUGACUGCGUACCUUUUGUAUAAUGGGUCAGCGACUUAUAUUCUGUAGCAAGGUUAACCGAAUAGGGGAGCCGAAGGGAAACCGAGUCUUAACUGGGCGUUAAGUUGCAGGGUAUAGACCCGAAACCCGGUGAUCUAGCCAUGGGCAGGUUGAAGGUUGGGUAACACUAACUGGAGGACCGAACCGACUAAUGUUGAAAAAUUAGCGGAUGACUUGUGGCUGGGGGUGAAAGGCCAAUCAAACCGGGAGAUAGCUGGUUCUCCCCGAAAGCUAUUUAGGUAGCGCCUCGUGAAUUCAUCUCCGGGGGUAGAGCACUGUUUCGGCAAGGGGGUCAUCCCGACUUACCAACCCGAUGCAAACUGCGAAUACCGGAGAAUGUUAUCACGGGAGACACACGGCGGGUGCUAACGUCCGUCGUGAAGAGGGAAACAACCCAGACCGCCAGCUAAGGUCCCAAAGUCAUGGUUAAGUGGGAAACGAUGUGGGAAGGCCCAGACAGCCAGGAUGUUGGCUUAGAAGCAGCCAUCAUUUAAAGAAAGCGUAAUAGCUCACUGGUCGAGUCGGCCUGCGCGGAAGAUGUAACGGGGCUAAACCAUGCACCGAAGCUGCGGCAGCGACGCUUAUGCGUUGUUGGGUAGGGGAGCGUUCUGUAAGCCUGUGAAGGUGUGCUGUGAGGCAUGCUGGAGGUAUCAGAAGUGCGAAUGCUGACAUAAGUAACGAUAAAGCGGGUGAAAAGCCCGCUCGCCGGAAGACCAAGGGUUCCUGUCCAACGUUAAUCGGGGCAGGGUGAGUCGACCCCUAAGGCGAGGCCGAAAGGCGUAGUCGAUGGGAAACAGGUUAAUAUUCCUGUACUUGGUGUUACUGCGAAGGGGGGACGGAGAAGGCUAUGUUGGCCGGGCGACGGUUGUCCCGGUUUAAGCGUGUAGGCUGGUUUUCCAGGCAAAUCCGGAAAAUCAAGGCUGAGGCGUGAUGACGAGGCACUACGGUGCUGAAGCAACAAAUGCCCUGCUUCCAGGAAAAGCCUCUAAGCAUCAGGUAACAUCAAAUCGUACCCCAAACCGACACAGGUGGUCAGGUAGAGAAUACCAAGGCGCUUGAGAGAACUCGGGUGAAGGAACUAGGCAAAAUGGUGCCGUAACUUCGGGAGAAGGCACGCUGAUAUGUAGGUGAAGUCCCUCGCGGAUGGAGCUGAAAUCAGUCGAAGAUACCAGCUGGCUGCAACUGUUUAUUAAAAACACAGCACUGUGCAAACACGAAAGUGGACGUAUACGGUGUGACGCCUGCCCGGUGCCGGAAGGUUAAUUGAUGGGGUCAGCGCAAGCGAAGCUCUUGAUCGAAGCCCCGGUAAACGGCGGCCGUAACUAUAACGGUCCUAAGGUAGCGAAAUUCCUUGUCGGGUAAGUUCCGACCUGCACGAAUGGCGUAAUGAUGGCCAGGCUGUCUCCACCCGAGACUCAGUGAAAUUGAACUCGCUGUGAAGAUGCAGUGUACCCGCGGCAAGACGGAAAGACCCCGUGAACCUUUACUAUAGCUUGACACUGAACAUUGAGCCUUGAUGUGUAGGAUAGGUGGGAGGCUUAGAAGUGUGGACGCCAGUCUGCAUGGAGCCGACCUUGAAAUACCACCCUUUAAUGUUUGAUGUUCUAACGUUGACCCGUAAUCCGGGUUGCGGACAGUGUCUGGUGGGUAGUUUGACUGGGGCGGUCUCCUCCUAAAGAGUAACGGAGGAGCACGAAGGUUGGCUAAUCCUGGUCGGACAUCAGGAGGUUAGUGCAAUGGCAUAAGCCAGCUUGACUGCGAGCGUGACGGCGCGAGCAGGUGCGAAAGCAGGUCAUAGUGAUCCGGUGGUUCUGAAUGGAAGGGCCAUCGCUCAACGGAUAAAAGGUACUCCGGGGAUAACAGGCUGAUACCGCCCAAGAGUUCAUAUCGACGGCGGUGUUUGGCACCUCGAUGUCGGCUCAUCACAUCCUGGGGCUGAAGUAGGUCCCAAGGGUAUGGCUGUUCGCCAUUUAAAGUGGUACGCGAGCUGGGUUUAGAACGUCGUGAGACAGUUCGGUCCCUAUCUGCCGUGGGCGCUGGAGAACUGAGGGGGGCUGCUCCUAGUACGAGAGGACCGGAGUGGACGCAUCACUGGUGUUCGGGUUGUCAUGCCAAUGGCACUGCCCGGUAGCUAAAUGCGGAAGAGAUAAGUGCUGAAAGCAUCUAAGCACGAAACUUGCCCCGAGAUGAGUUCUCCCUGACUCCUUGAGAGUCCUGAAGGAACGUUGAAGACGACGACGUUGAUAGGCCGGGUGUGUAAGCGCAGCGAUGCGUUGAGCUAACCGGUACUAAUGAACCGUGAGG
RNAcentral lists this ribosomal RNA (2732 nucleotides) under Escherichia coli. Its description in RNAcentral is "partial 23S ribosomal RNA". It matches the Rfam family "Bacterial large subunit ribosomal RNA". The record is from RNAcentral. Lineage: Bacteria; Pseudomonadati; Pseudomonadota; Gammaproteobacteria; Enterobacterales; Enterobacteriaceae.